AUUAAAGCUUUGAAAAGAAGAGUACAUGUCACGGACGUUUAAAGAGAGCCCUGUUUGCUGAAAAAGGGUAAUGAAAAUGAGAUGGAAGAUGGUCUUAGAGCAGAGUAAGUGAGCCAUGGCAAACUUGCUACGGGCGUGCCCGUUACAGCACAACAGUAUACGUAAAGAUUCUUUUAAAAUCUUAAUCAAGUACUGGUAGAGGCUGUUGUUGUGAAAUAGCAGCAAAUCAAGGUGGUAACACGGAGGUUUAAGCUUUCGUCCUUUUG
Molecule: non-coding RNA, 266 nt
Filed under: Enterococcus ratti
Lineage: Bacteria; Bacillati; Bacillota; Bacilli; Lactobacillales; Enterococcaceae
Description: T-box sequence
Rfam family: T-box leader
About the family: Uncharged tRNA acts as the effector for transcription antitermination of genes in the T-box leader family.
Source: RNAcentral